AGCAGCCGCGGUAAUUCCAGCUCCAAUAGCGUAUAUUAAAGUUGUUGCAGUUAAAAAGCUCGUAGUUGAAUUUCGGGAUUGACGUGACGGUCGUGCCUUAAGGGGUAUGAACUGUCGCCGUUGAUUUCUCACCUUCUGGAGAAGCUUGAUGUCCUUAAUUGGAUGUCUUGUGGAACCAGGACCUUUACCUUGAAAAAUUAGAGUGUUUAAAGCAGGCAUUUUGCUCGAAUACAUUAGCAUGGAAUAAUAGAAUAGGACGGCAUGGUUCUAUUUUGUUGGUUUCUAGGAUCACCGUAAUGAUUAAUAGGGAUAGUUGGGGGCAUUAGUAUUCAAUUGUCAGAGGUGAAAUUCUUGGAUUUAUUGAAGACUAACUACUGCGAAAGCAUUUGCCAAGGAUGUUUUCAUUAAUCAAGAACGAAAGUUAGGGGAUCGAAGACGAUCAGAUACCGU
This 450-nucleotide ribosomal RNA is filed under the name uncultured Entrophospora. Its description in RNAcentral is "SSU rRNA". It matches the Rfam family "Eukaryotic small subunit ribosomal RNA", at positions 569 to 1018 of the family's 1831-position model. Lineage: Eukaryota; Fungi; Glomeromycota; Glomeromycetes; Entrophosporales; Entrophosporaceae. The record is from RNAcentral.